GCGGGUGUAGCUCAAUUGGCAGAGCGCCAGCCUUCCAAGCUGGCUGUUGUGGGUUCGAGUCCCAUCGCCCGCUUCA
Molecule: transfer RNA, 76 nt
Filed under: Gemmataceae bacterium
Lineage: Bacteria; Pseudomonadati; Planctomycetota; Planctomycetia; Gemmatales; Gemmataceae
Description: tRNA-Gly
Rfam family: tRNA
About the family: Transfer RNA (tRNA) molecules are approximately 80 nucleotides in length. Their secondary structure includes four short double-helical elements and three loops (D, anti-codon, and T loops).
Source: RNAcentral